CGAUUAUGCUCAUCAUGACAAUAAGAUCGUGCAGACCUGACCGAUGUAUAAAAGAGUGUGUAUGCCGAAGUGUGUUGUUGUGAUACUAGUGCAGUGAUUCGUGCGUUACGGCAUAGAUACUGUUAAAAUAAAAAUUAAUAAAGAAUAAAAUAUCAGUUUAAUACAAAUAGUAAAUAUAGUCUAUACUAUAGACAAAUACUUUUAAAAAAUAAAACUAUAAUGAAAAAAAUUUAAACGUUUCAACAAAUAUAUUAAACCUUAUUCAAGAGAAGUCACAUAUCAUACAAAUGAACGAUUAAAAUUAU
This 305-nucleotide long non-coding RNA is filed under the name Ananas comosus (pineapple). RNAcentral describes it as "long non-coding RNA (ACOM_LNC019682)". The record is from RNAcentral. Lineage: Eukaryota; Viridiplantae; Streptophyta; Magnoliopsida; Poales; Bromeliaceae.